This is a long non-coding RNA of Ficedula albicollis (Collared flycatcher), 467 nucleotides long. RefSeq lists it as uncharacterized. The transcript is spliced from 2 exons. NCBI's taxonomy places the organism in Eukaryota, Metazoa, Chordata, Aves, Passeriformes, Muscicapidae. The record is from RefSeq and is a predicted model, not a curated record.
GGGGGGGCCCCAGCCUGCGGCAGGCCCAGGGCAGCUUCCAGAAGGGGGUGACGCUGGCCGUGGAGGUGGCCGAGCUCCAGGCCACCGUGGAAGCGGCGGCCGCCCGGUACCGGCAACGCGGCAGAAACGUCACCUGGCUGGGGACAGCGGGGACAGCCAGACCCCCGCGGGGACACCUGGGGACACCGAGGGUGACACAGCCACCUCGGUGACCGCGUGACACCAACAGCGAGGACACGUCUGCAGGGGACAGACAGGGACGCAGGUGACGCAGGGCUGUGCUGACCCUUCACGGGUGACACAGCUGCCACCUGGAGGACAGCAGCAGCUGCUUGUGGUGACACCAAGUCCCCAAGGCCUGCAGGUGACACUGAGGACUUGGCAGGUGACACCGAUGUCACCAAGGAGGGUCCCUCCGUGUCACCACCCCCAAUAAAGCCACCGUGGUGUCCCCAACUUGCUGCCAA